UGGGGAAUAUUGCGCAAUGGGCGAAAGCCUGACGCAGCAAUACCGCGUGUGUGAAGAAGGCCUGCGGGUUGUAAAGCACUUUCAGUAGGGAGGAAAGGUUGCGUGUUAAUAGCACGUAACUGUGACGUUACCUACAGAAGAAGCACCGGCUAACUCCGUGCCAGCAGCCGCGGUAAUACGGAGGGUGCAAGCGUUAAUCGGAAUUACUGGGCGUAAAGCGCGCGUAGGUGGAUUAUUAAGUCAGAUGUGAAAGCCCAGGGCUUAACCUUGGAACUGCAUUUGAUACUGGUAAUCUUGAGUACAGUAGAGGGAGGUGGAAUUUCAGGUGUAGCGGUGAAAUGCGUAGAUAUCUGAAGGAACAUCAGUGGCGAAGGCGGCCUUCUGGACUGAUACUGACACUGAGGUGCGAAAGCGUGGGGAGCGAACAGG
This 429-nucleotide ribosomal RNA is filed under the name uncultured bacterium. RNAcentral describes it as "bacterial SSU rRNA". It matches the Rfam family "Bacterial small subunit ribosomal RNA", at positions 355 to 776 of the family's 1533-position model. The record is from RNAcentral.